UAACCGACUCUCGGCAACGGAUAUCUCGGCUCUCGCAUCGAUGAAGAACGUAGCGAACUGCGAUACUUGGUGUGAAUUGCAGAAUCCCGUGAACCAUCGAGUCUUUGAACGCAAGUUGCGCCCGAAUCCUUUUGGACGAGGGCACGUUUGCCUGGGUGUCA
Molecule: ribosomal RNA, 161 nt
Filed under: Myrceugenia glaucescens
Lineage: Eukaryota; Viridiplantae; Streptophyta; Magnoliopsida; Myrtales; Myrtaceae
Description: 5.8S ribosomal RNA
Rfam family: 5.8S ribosomal RNA
About the family: 5.8S ribosomal RNA (5.8S rRNA) is a component of the large subunit of the eukaryotic ribosome. It is transcribed by RNA polymerase I as part of the 45S precursor that also contains 18S and 28S rRNA.
Source: RNAcentral